GUCGCUUCUCGGCCUUUGGCUAAGAUCAAGUGUAGUAUCCUUUUAUCAGUUUAUUAUCUGACACAUCCACUAUCUGGGGACCAUUUAUAAUAUGGAUUUUGAGGAUGGGGGCUGAUUUUGAUGCUGGCUUGUCGCCCUGUGCAUUAAUCAGACUUCACGGUUUCUUUUUGUACAGCAUACCAC
Molecule: small nuclear RNA, 183 nt
Organism: Hyla sarda
Lineage: Eukaryota; Metazoa; Chordata; Amphibia; Anura; Hylidae
Product: U2 spliceosomal RNA
Exons: 1
Source: RefSeq, a predicted model, not a curated record